Molecule: ribosomal RNA, 444 nt
Filed under: uncultured bacterium
Lineage: Bacteria
Description: bacterial SSU rRNA
Rfam family: Bacterial small subunit ribosomal RNA
Source: RNAcentral
AUUGAACGCUGGCGGCAUGCCUUACACAUGCAAGUCGAACGGCAGCACGGGAGCUUGCUCCUGGUGGCAAGUGGCGAACGGGUGAGUAAUACAUCGGAACGUACCCUGAAGUGGGGGAUAACGUAGCGAAAGUUACGCUAAUACCGCAUAUUCUGUGAGCAGGAAAGAGGGGGAUCGCAAGACCUCUUGCUUUAGGAGCGGCCGAUGUCGGAUUAGCUAGUUGGUGAGGUAAAGGCUCACCAAGGCGACGAUCCGUAGCGGGUCUGAGAGGAUGAUCCGCCGCACUGGGACUGAGACACGGCCCAGACUCCUACGGGAGGCAGCAGUGGGGAAUUUUGGACAAUGGGCGCAAGCCUGAUCCAGCCAUGCCGCGUGAGUGAAGAAGGCCUCGGGUUGGUUAAAGACGUCUUUCCGGUGGGGUAAGGAAAGUUAGUCUUCGGUUAA